UUUUUAACCCUAUGUAUUUACUAUCUCUACCUUUUCAUGCACAAAACAAAUCCUUUAAAAUCUCCAUUCUCUAACAAAAAGAAACCCUAGAAAAUCAUCUUUUCGUGCUCCUCUUUCGUCAAUAAAUUUGCAGAAUAACGUUGUAUCAAAGAUAAGUUUGUUAGUGUUUUUCAUUUAAUUUCUCUAGUUCAUUCUAUUGCAUUUUAGUUAGUUUAUGCAACAUGCGUAAUUUGUGUUUUUCGUUCCUUACUUUGUCUGUGGUCGGUUCUUAUUAAUUUCUUCAGGUAUCGUGUUGUGAAGUUUACAGGUUGGUUAAAAGGUAUUUUUUUUUUUUUUAGCUUUUUUCUAUAAAUUUGAAUUUUUUCUAUAAUUUUUACUUAGCUUUUCUAUGAAAAUUGUUAUCUUGUUCAUGUUUUAAAGUUUUUGUACCUUUUUCACUUCUCUUGGAACACAAAUCGUAGUAGUGUAUCUUGUUAAAUUUUCAGGAUGAAAAUUUUGGAAGUUAUGUAUUGUAUUUUCAGGGGUCUAAGUUUGUGUGUUUAGAUUUUUUAUUUUUUAUUUUUUUUUUCAAAUUUAAAAUUCUUGAAUCUAUGGACAAUACAUUCUUUUGGCCUCCUAUUGGUUGGGUUUUGAGAACAAAUUAGAUUGGAUGAACUGAUUUGGUUUUGGAAUUAAGUUCUAUGAUUCAAUUGCUAUAAGAAAGAAAGUUGAGCCUUUGAAGAAAAUUUGAAGUUUCAAUUCAUGUAGUUUUGUGGAUCUUUAUUUUGAAUUUAAUAGAUUUUCCUCCUCUAGCCAGACACUGUGCCUUUAGAUAUAUGAAGUUUGGUCAUCAGUUGCUAAAUUUUUGGAAAAUCUAGCGUGUUAGCUAACCUUGAACUAAUUCAAUGAUUAAAAGCUCUGGUAAACACAACUUGAAGUUUUGGUAUUGUCAAUUUAGUGAAGUUUGUGUGUUUAGUAAGAGUAUUUUUAUACUUUUAUUUUUUUGUCUUCUUUUAACUUUUAAAUCGUUCAAUCUAUGGUCGAUAUGUUCCUUUUCAUUUUCAUAGAAGUUAGUUUUACCAGUUCAAUUUUACAUUUCUUGAUUAAUUUUUUGCAAUAUCUAAAUGAUAUCUGGCUUUAGGAUUUAUAUUUUUUCGUUCUCUACUGUUAGCAGGUAUGAAUGUACUUAUUUUUUUUAGCAAAUAAGUUACUUUCUUUCUUAAAAUAGAAAUUGUAUCACUGCAUUUUCUAGAAAUUUUCAUUUUGAAAUUUUCAAAGUCAUGUGUACUUUUCUUAGGGGUUUUAGUGUUAGUUUUGAAAUUUUACUUCUGUUUUAUUUCAAAUUUAAAAUUAUUCAAUGUAUGGUUGAUAUGUUGCCUUUAAUUUUUGUCUAAGUUAGAUUUAUUAUUUCCAUUUCACAUUUGUUCAUUGAUGUUGUUACGUGUUGUCAUACUUGGACAACCUACUUGGGCCUAUAGCCCACUCAAUCCGAACCACGUGGCACUCUAGCCGAGGUGGCAUGUAUGGCCAAGGCCCUUCAUGUCGAUGCCCAUAUACCAAGACCUGUGAAAGUAGCCAAACUCCAUAUACCAAGGCCUUCGAAGAUAGCUGAAACCCUGAAGCGAAAGUACUACGUAAGUAGCGAAAGUACUACGAACCAUGAAGGAACGUCUUCCAUGAUCAUCUCUCCCAAGAGAUCUUCUACAUAAAAAUCUUGUUUGAAUGAUUGAUGGAACGUUUACCAUAAGUACAUAUGUCAAGUCUUAUCACUAGCAUGGGGAUUCUGCACAAGCAAUAAAUGCGCAGGAGCUAGUAAGUCAAGGAUGAUGCCUAGGAUUGGAUGUUUGAAUUAAGGAGAUGAGGCCACGUGCCACCUCAUCUAAGGGCUGCCAUUUCACAUAUAACACUAUAAAUACUUCCCUUGUAUAACAUUGAAGGGCUAAUGCAAGAAUCAAGACAAGAAACCACAUUGAAGGGCUAAUUUGUUGAUGGGUUGGCUGGGGACGUCGGCUCAGGUGCUGGAGUUGUCCUCAUCAGCCUUGAAGGUCACAAGCUAAACUCAGCGGUGAGGUUCGGGUUCAAGGCCACCAAAAAUGUAGCAGAAUACGAGGCACUACUUGUAGGCCUCAGGCUGGCCAAGGAAAUGCAAGUAAAGAGGCUCUUUAUCAGCAGUGAUUCCUAGCUGGUUGUUAGCCAAGUAAAUGGUAACUUCUCAGUCAAGGACAAAACGAUGGCCUCCUACUUGAAAAUGGUGAUGAACCUCAUCCCAUCCUUUGAAAAGUUUGAACUAACCUAGAUCCCUCGCAUGGAAAAUUCUCAUGCGGAUGCACUCUCCAAGCUCACUAGUAGUAGGGAUUCAGAACUACUCACAGUAAUACCUAUAGAGCAUCUCCUCCUGCCAUCCACCGAGGCCCCUAAUGUAAUGUGGGUCUUUGGAACUCCUACCUGGAUGUAGCCAAUCGUAGCAUACCCUAAAGACCAGGUACUUUCCACUGACAAGCAUGAGGCCUACAAGCUAAGGAGGAGCUCAGCCCACUUCCUCUUCAUUGAUGAUGUUCUCUAUAAGAGGAGCUUCUCCUCCCCACUCUUACGAUGUGUUGAGGGAGAAGAGGCUACUUACAUAUUGAGAGAAGUCUAUGAGGGCGUGUGCGACAAUCACUCCGGAGGUCUAUCUUUAGCACAAAAGAUAUUGAGGCAAGGGUACAACUAGCCUUCCCUAAAAAGGGACACCCUCGAGUUUGUACGAAAGUGUGACAAAUGUCAACGAUUCUCUUUGAUACAAAGCAAUCGUCGCAGGAUUUGACCGCGGUCUCCAACCCUUAGCCUUUCUCGAAAUGGGGUGUGGACCUCAUAGGUCCUCUACUUAAAGAUAGAGGAGCUGCAAGCUUUGCAAUUGUGGCCAUUGAUUACUUCACGAAAUGGGUUGAGGUUGACCCACUGACAAAAAUCACAGAAACCAACACUUCCAAGUUCUUGUGGAAGAAUAUUAUAUGUCAGUUCGGGAUUCCCUACUCAAUCGUCUCAAACAAUGGUAGACAAUUCGACAACAAGAAAGUCAGAGCACUAUGCGAAGAACUCGACAUCAAUAAACAUUUUUCCACGCCUUACCACUCACAAGCAAAUGGCCAAGUUGAGGCUGUCAACAAAACAAUCAAACACGUUCUGAAAAUGAAGCUUGAUGUGUCAAAAGGGGCCUGGGUGGACGAGCUACCACUAGUUCUUUGGGCGAUCCAAACCACCAUGAGGACGCCAACCGGGGAAACACCUUUCCUCAUGGCAUAUGGUACUGAGGUGAUGAGCCCCGUUGAGGUCAGACUUUCGUCUCCAAGACGUCUGCAUUUUAGUGAAAUCACAAAUGAUGAGCUUCGGAGGUUUAACCUCGACUUCAUCGAAGAGAGAAGAGAUGACUCCCAGUUGAAGCUCGCCACAAACCAAAGAAAGAUGAUGAAGUACUUCUGCUCAAAGGUAAAGAAGAGAUCAUUCCGAAUCAACGAUUUGGUCCUUAGGAGGGUUUUCCUCUCCUCAAAGGAACCUGGUUCUGGUUCCCUAGGUCCCAACUGGGAAGGGCCAUAUAAAAUCAGAGAAAAAACUCGGCCUAGGACUUACUGGAUUGAGGACAUGGAUGGCAAGGCCCAACCCCGUCCAUGGAACAUCGAGCACAUCAGAAUCUAUUACCAAUGAAUGUACUACCUCGCUCGACGAUCUUUCCCAGCUCUUGUAACAUUUCUAAGGUUCAAUAAAAUUCUAUGAUUAAAUUAACAUAUUGUAUUAUUUCUUCACCUCGGAGGAGAGGCAAGCAUCCCAUCUCUGGGCCACGUCGUUUGAACUCCGAGGCGCAUGCACAUGCCUCCCUUUGGUGAGGCUGAACGCCAAGGGGAGAGGCCUCAACAUGGUUGCACGAUCCACCAUGUUGGGAAGCGUCGUCACCUCGGAGGAGAGGCCGGGGUACCAUCUCUGGGCCACCUUGUUUGAACUCCGAGGCUCAUGCACAUGCCUCCCUUUGGCGAGGCUGAACGCCAAGGGGAAGCGUCGUCGCCUCGGAGGAGAGGCUGGGGGUCCCAUCUCUGGGCUACCUCAUUUGAACUCCGAAGUGCAUGCACAUGCCUCCAUUUAGCAAGACUGAAUGCCAAGGGAAAAAGCCUCAACAUGGCUGCACCAUCCACCAUGUUGGGAAGCGUCGUCACUUCGGAGAAGAGGCCGAGGUCCCAUCUCUGGGCCACCUCAUUUGAACUCUGAGGCGCAUGCACAUGUCUCCCUUUUGCGAGGUUGAACGCCAGGGGGAGAAACCUCAACAUGGCUGCACCAUCCACCAUGUUAGGAAGCAUCGUCAUCUCGGAGGAGAAACCGGGGUCCCAUCUCUGGGCCACCUCGUUUGAACUCCAAGGUGCAUGCACAUACCUCCUUUUGGCAAGGCUAAAUGGCAAGGGGAGAAGCCUCAACAUGGCUGCACUAUCCACCAUGUUGGGAAGUAUCGUCACCUCAGAGUAGAGGCCAGGGUCCCAUCUCUAGGCCACCUCGUUUGAACUUCGAGGCGCAUGCACUUAUAUCAGAGUAAAACUCCCAGUUCAACUGCAACACGGUCCAUUUUUAGGAUCCCUUCAGGUUACAAUUAUUAAGCUCAAGUACAAUUCAUUUGCUUAAGUCCCAUAUUGGUCAUAACUCGUGAGGCUUGCAUACAAUUUAUUCGUUCAAGUGAUUGGAGUUAGGAUACCCAGUUAAAGUUAUUUAGUUCUUCAAUCAACAUUAUGUUCAAUUAUUUAACGAGGCCAACAAACUUGAGAGAAAGAAACAACAUUGAAUAAAAAGGAGAUAUUAUAUUGAUUUUCAAUUGAGAUUGCAAAAGGAGGGCUUGAGACCAGUACAUCAUGCAUAACUGAAAAGAUAACUAUCCUAAGCCUGGGAAGAUGGUGGAGGAGCCUUAGCAGCUGGAACUUCCGCAGCUUGAGCAUCAGAAUUUACUUCUUCUGCCUCUGCUACUUCAUCUCCCACCACUUCAUCAGCUAGGGUUUGAGGCACUUCGUCCACAAACUUCGACCUGAGUUGCGACAGAUCCUAAUUGGGAUACAAGUCCUCAGCCCGCUCCAUCACUUUGGCAUAAGCAAAGUUCCUCUAGUAAGUGCUAAAGCUCUUGUACUCCUCGGUAUUGUGGAAGUUGGCAAUGUAGUCUCUCACUGCCUCCUUCCUUGCACUUUAGGCUUCCUCCCUAGCAUGGGUUGCAUCAUUGACAUGCCACUUAAUUUGGUCCUCAAUGAACUUGUAUGCAUCCUGGGCCCCUGCCAGCUCCCUGUUACCCUUCUCCAAGGCUUCGGCUGUCACCUUCUAGUGGUCAUUGGAAACCUCCACCUUCAUAGUCAAGGAGGCAACCUCGCACUGGGACUCAUGUACCUCCCUCUUCAAUGCCUCUAUCUGAGCUAAGGCAGACUUCAGCUUGACAGAUUCUUCAAGUUUUUGGGCCCUGGCUUCUUCAGCCUCAGCCCUAGCUGCGUUCAACUCCUCUGCAAGGGAUGCAGCCUUCCUUUCAAAGGACUGGGUCCUUGUCUGAAAGUCAGUGAGAGCCUUCCUACACUCCAGUGUGAGGCCAAAGAUCCUAACACUUUGGCUCACAAGAGCCCUCGUCAAGUCCGUGGCAUCACUGGCGGAGGCAUGCGGCUACCACCGAUCCAUCUAGAAUUUAUAAAAACUUUCAGCAGUGGUUCGGAUUUCAGGUGGCAAGGCCUCUACCAAAGCUGGGGCCAGAGGCUCCUCCCUGCCAGAAAGGAAGCUCGGAGACUUGCCUUGUACUCGAACAGGUUUCUCUUUCGCAGCCUUCUCCUCAGCCACCUCAGCUUGCCUCCUUGCAGCCUUCUCCCUCACCUCAUCAACCUCUGUACGCCUGACCAUUUCAAUCUUAAUUGCUUUCGAGGCGACUUUCAGUAGCUUUAGCGGUCUGGCUUCUUUUCCUUGGGACACAUAACUCCCAAAUUUUCCAAACGAGCUAGAGAUGUGCACCAGCUUCCUCUUCUUUGGCUCCUCAGGGACUUUCUCCUUUCCCUGAGGCUCUUCAGCCUUUUCUAGCCUUUGGGAGGUCUCAUCUUCGAAAGCCCAUGAGGUGCUGUCCUUGGAGAGACGUUCAACUCUACCUAGGACUUCCUUCGCACCACUUGACCCCGGCUUUAGGGGCCUCGCCUUCACAGUGGAAGUUGCCCUCAGUAUGGACGCCAUGUCAGAAGCUGGGUACUCCUUCCUCUUAAACUUAUCUGCAGAACACAGCAUGUCAGUACCAAAAUGAAAACACAAAAAUAUACAAGUAUGGGAGCUUCAUACCCCUGGAGGCCAUCAGUUCGAAGUUGAGGAAAUAGCGACUUUUGUCGAUGAGGUGAUCGAAGUGGCGAAACUUCAGAGGUCUCUUGUAAAUGAACUCCUCCCUACUCAGCUCGAACCUCGUACUGCUAUCUGCAAAUGAGGCCUCAACAGUUAGAGAAAAAUUAAAGUUGAAAACAGAAUGCAAACUACUUAGUCUGGGAGACUCACAAGUUUCGUAGUACUGGGUCAGUACUAUGCAAGAUAGGGCUUUGUCUCCCUCCACCGCUUGCCACCUGCCCCUCACCCAGAGCUACGACUCCUUCCACCCUUUUAUGGAAGAAGGUAGCCCCACCACAAAAGGUGCAUGGGCCCCCCAGGGAGUCAAGUAAUACCACCCCUUCGACUCCUUACCUAUUACCCUAAGCUGGAAUAGGGUCAUGAAGACGUGGAGAGGCAUGUCCUCCCUAAGCGACACUUCCUUCGACAGGAAGUACGAGCCGACCAACUGGCUCCACCCAUUUGGUAGAACCUGGGUCGGUGACAACAUGAAAUUCCUCAUCACAGCCCCGAAGAAGGGGUGCAGAGGAAGAUGUAUACCUGCUUUAAACAAGUAUUCGCUCACCGCCACGCGCCCAGGCCUCGGAUAAUAGGCUUGCUCAUGGGCUUCGGGCACUAACAUCUCCACAUAAUGAGGUACACAGUACCUCUCCCUUAUCUCCCCCAACCUUUUCGACGUCAUAUUCGAAGGGACUCUAGAUGCCCCCCACUCUACAUUGUAAUCCACUUCCUCCUCGGUCAUAGCAAUUUGCUCAACCUCGGAGUCCUCCCUGUAACUAGACCCCCGACCAAACGACGUGACAGUGACCAACUCCCUACCCGAAGUCGACUCCAUCUCAGAAAGCAACUAAGAACACAAUAAAAGGAGGAUUUUUUGUGAAAAAUACCUACUGAAAAACUACGCGAACGGAGUGGGCCGAAAAAGCAGUAGACGGAAUUGCCUCAAUGCCGGAAUGUCUAAACUCUAAGAGGAGAAAACAGAUUGCAAAAGCUGGAAAAUGGAGUUUUCUCGCCUUUUAUAAAGGAUCCAGACGAACCCCCACCAUCAGAUCGAAGCUCAUUCAAUCUAAACCCUUCAGUUUAAAUCAAAUUCGAGGCGUAGAAUUUAAACAAAUUUUUUUAAACCUACGCCUCAGAUUUAAGCGUGUCUCCCACGCACCUCAUCCAAUGUGUCUGCUUCUAGAAGCUCCAGUUGCUCUAAUAAUUAUGAUUUUAAUUUGACGGCGGUAGGCACCUUGGAAGUCGCAACGGUUCAAGCACCUUUCCUCGAAAACAUGCGCAAAACAUCAAAUCAUUGGCACAACUGCCAAGGAACAAUUAUUUUCAACCACCUCGGCUUCUUCUUCAACAUUCAGCCAUCAAGCCUCGUAGGUUCGGUUUCCCAACUAUCUCGGCUUCUUCUUCAACAUUCAGCCAUCAAGCCUCGUAGGUUCGAUUUGCCAACUACCUCGGCUUCUUCUUCAAUAUUCCGCCAUCAAACCUCGCAGGUUCGAUUUUCCAACCACCUCGGCUUCAUCUUCAAUUUUAGCUUUCACAAGCCUCACACAUUCAGUUCAUUCCACCACCUCGGCUUCUUCAUCAUUAACCCACAACAGAACAUUUCUAACUCCAACCAUGAUAUAAAUAUCUAUACUUGGACUUGGGGAACUAUUAUUUGGGGUUCAAAAAAUUCUUUCAAUUUUUACCCAACCCACUGGCUUUACUUCAUUAAAGUCCGCGCAUUACAUAAAUGACUAUACUUGGACUUGGGGGACUAUUGUUACGUGUUUUCAUACUUGGCCAACCUACUUGGGCCUCUACUCAAUCCGAACCAUGUGGCACUCCAGUCGAGGUGGCAUGUAUGGCCGAGGCCCUUCAUGCCGAUGCCCAUAUAUCGAGACCUAUGAAAGUAGCCAAACUCCAUAUAUAAAGGCCUUCGAAGAUAGCCGAAGCCCUGAAGCAGAAGUACUACGUGAGUGGCAGAAGCCUCCGAAUCAUGAAGGAACGUCUUUCAUGAUCACCUCUCCCAAGAGAUCUUCUACAUAAAAAAUCUUGUUUGAAUGAUUGAUGGAACGUUUAUCAUAAGUACAUAUGUCAAGUCUUAUCACUAGCAUGGGGCUUCUGCACAAGCAAUAAAUGCGUAGCGAGCUAGCGAUUCAAGGAUGAUGCCUAGGAUUGGAUAUUUGAAUUAAGGAGAUGAGGCCACGUGCCAUCUCAUCUAAAGGCUUCCAUUUCACACGUAACACUAUAAAUAUUGUAUAACAUUGAAGAGCUAAUGCAAGAAUCAAGACAAGAAACCACACUUUACUAUCUCUUUUUCAUAUUAUCUUACAACACUAUACGAGUUCAUACACAUUUACAUACACAUUCAUGAGCACCGAUUGGUAAUUAUUGUACAAUCGAAUUAAAAAUAUCCCGUCGAAUUCCGAACGUUCUCGUCCCACGUCGUUGAACUACUCCCACGCCCCUGAUUCGUUCGUUCUAGACCAUCCACGUGUCUUAGCGUGUAGGAUCUUCACUCACGUGUGCGCGGGUGGGUUCGACAUCUAUUGGUAACACUUUUUGGAGUCAACAGAUGUUCUACGAGGUGUAAACUAUGUCUGUCAUUGAUUUCUUUUUUUUUCUUUUUCUUUUUUUGUUAAUUGGUAGCGGGUAUUUUGUGCUCUUCUCUUAGCUCACAUUAUUUUUAAGAUUUAUUUUACAUAUUUGGGAGUUUCCGUUGAAAUAGUUUUUCUUGCUGCUCAUAUCGUUACGCCCCUAUCUAAACCACCUCGAAAUGCUCGCCACCACACAUUCCGACUUGAUAUACACCCAUCCAAAGUGUUUCCAAAGUGAUCGCACCAAUGUCAACGACCUGAUAGCACACUGAGAGACAUAGACGAUCCUGCUGAACUGACCGAAGCGCCCUCGCCCCUGAUGCCGAGGUGAAGUGCACCUUUGUCAGAAGAUCCGUAUCCAUUUUCAAAAAGAGAUUUUUACCAAGAUCCUCUGUGCAUCUAAGGUUUAAAUUGAUUUGACGUCUCUAUGAGGCUAGUUGAUUUGACUUAUCGACUUUAUGUCAACUCAACUCAGGAGAAACAAACUGCCUGCCCACUCUACAGACGCGACUAAUUGACGCCUAUGAGCGGACGCCUCUUACCGUCAAAUGCAUACACGAGUCCCACAUCCAACGGUUCAUCCCACCUAUAAAUACCCAAGGUUUGGCAAGAGGUAAAGGUAAUGAAACUCUUACUACAUAGCACUCUAUAGCAAGUUUACAUAUUUUCUCCUCCCCCUAUUAUUAUUUUGCACAACCUCUGGGUACUGUUCCGACCACCUAAACCUGACUUGACCGUCAAAGUGUAUACGGUCGUCACUACCCCUGUUGGUCAAUGUCGUGUGCAUCUGACCGUGCGUUGAUUGUGCGCAGGGAGGAAUACGUGGAGUAGCUAUCGGUUGGCCACGUGGAAGGUCCAAUUUUCGAGGUCAACAGAUUGUCGUCGUCUAUGGAAAACACUUCCCAUUGAAAGUUCUGCAUUCUCCACCGAAGAAAUCACUAGAAAACUUGCGACUAACCCCGAAAAGGACAAGUUCUUGAAAAAGAACAAAGUCGAGUUAUAAUCCAAGUUCUCACCACCCUUGAAAAAGGAGAUAGGAUGAGUUAUAGCAAUGAAGAAGACAACCCCAUGAGAGAGGCCUCUGAAGAAGAGGUGCUCCAUAACAAUGUCACUCACCAGAGACCCCAUUACCGAUGUCGUCGAGGCGCGAGAACGGCUAUGCUCAUUGAAGGUAUAGCUCAAAUAGGGGUGGGCAUGAGGGACAUCGUAGCUCAGAAUCUGGCGAUGCAUGAACUUCUCAUGCAAGCCCAAGGUCAUCAGGGCUGUCAAAUGUCCCAAGGAUCUUAUCCGGUGCAGGAAGCCCCUGUAUCUCACUCUCAAGGCCAUAUAAGCCAGCACACAGAACGCCCCCUUGAAAGAGAGAUGGACAUCGAAGCCACAUCUUAUGUACAAGGGAACCAGCCAUCAAAACCACACUUGGGGAAUAAUUUCCCUCAAGAUCAUGAGGAACAGAGGUCGGUAAGCAUCUUCGACCGGAUAGGGAAGGGUCCUAGCAAUAGGGUCCGCCUAGUAAAAGGAUCAAUUCGUCCACAUCAUGAACAAGAACAGACUCCCCCUCCUCCUAGAAAUAGGAGAGACAUGAGGAACCUAAUAGAUUGGGGGAGCCGAGGAGAAGCUCUCCCCCUCCCUAGAAUAUUCAAGAUGAUGAAGGGUCAGAUGGACCCUAUCGAUCUUAUGAGAUUGACGAUGAUGAUGAUAACCUCCCUUCUCAAGGGAGAUCCGAAGCUUCCUAAUGCCAGCAAAUUUCAUGCCCCCUAAGAUCCCCAAGUAUGAAGAAAAGGGGGACCCAGAGAAGUACCUCACCAAGUACAUGACACAGAUGAGCCUAAGGGGAGCCUCACCCGCUUUGAAAUGCAAAGCUUUCCAUUUAACACUAGGCGGAGCCACUGAAGUGUGGUAUAGCAGGCUUCCUCCCCUAAGCAUUAGAAGUUGGCCAGAUCUGAAGAAAGCGUUCUUGAACCAAUACCUCUCACACAGAGAAGGAGAGGCACCAGUGCAAUGCCUGCAAUAUAUGAGGCAAGCCCCUGGGGAGACGCUGAAAAGCUAUCUCGCCAGGUUUACAGACGAAAUCACCUACUGUGAACAGUCACUGACAGAGAAACCCUUUCAACCCUGAAAGGCGGGCACAACAUGAACACUUUAUUCUGGAGGGACGUGCGCAGCAAGAAUCCCUCCACUUAUGACGAAUUGGUGGAAAUGAUGAGAAUGGAAAUUGUGAGUGAAGAAAUGAUUGAUCAUCACAACAGUGCCGCACAGGGACUCCCUCCGCCUCAGAGGCAGGUAGGUCGAGGACCCGCAGCACACCUUGUUACUCAGCAAUGGACUUAAGUAGGUCAUACAAUAGCUCCCACCUUUGGACAGGCGUUGGCUUCGGCCAUAUUGAAUGCAGUGUCAGUGUUGGCAUAUGAGAAUACUCCUGUCGAAGCGGGACCAUCCGGAAGAGCUGAUAAUAAGAAGAAGAUGAAGAAGAAAAGGUCAAACAAACCCUUGGAGGGGGCAAGGUUUUGUACGUUCCAUCAACUGUAUGGACAUGAUAUUAGUGAAUGCCGAGACGCCAAUCGACGUCCUGAUUGAAGCAACCCACACCAUUCCAACAGGAACGAAUAUCCUCGUAGAUCCGCCUCCCCGAGCAGGGAAGAGAGAGGGCACAGAGAGCAAUCACCUUGGAGAAGAGAAUCAAGGGACCGAGGUCAAUCUAGACAGAGAAACUAGGCCCAAUUUUCUGGGAGCCAGGUCAUUAGGGAAAUCGAUAACAUCAUUGGGGGACCCCACGUCGGUGGCAAUGCCAGGAAUACCCAAAGAAAUUACACAAGGGAAGCAAAGGACCCGCCAAUGAUCACUUACAUUGUCAACAAGUCGCAAGCAGCCGAUAGGAUGGCCCCAAUCACCUUCUCUCGGGAAGACGCAAAGGGGGUUCACCCCCCAUUGCGAUGCUUUGGUUGUAAGAGCCGUAGUGGCUAGAAAUGAACUAAAACGCAUGCUCGUCGACAAUAGCAGUUCUGCAUAUUGUUCGGCUCCACUUUUGACAAAAUGCAAAUUGAACAUGGGUUGAUUCCCAUGACCGACCCACUAUUUAGAUUCACUGGGGACAGCAUCAUCCCACGAGGGCGGAUCACUCUACCCGUAGAGAAGGGGUCGGCACCCCUAGUGGCCCAACACUUCAUGGAAUUUUUGGUGGUAGAUCACAGAUCAGCUUAUCAUGGAGUAUUGGACAGACCCGCUUUGAAAGAUCUUUGGGCUAUUACAUCCUAUCCACUACUUGUGCAUGAAAUUUCCAACUGAACAUGGGAUUGCUAUGGUUCGAGGCAAUCAGAUGGGCUCCAGGGCAUGCUACUUAAACUCGCUGUGAAAGUUCGAGCCCCGAACUAUUAAUGUAAUCCUAACUGAGGUUCCCACUGAAAUCAGUACGGACGUUGAAAUGCUCGACGUUCCUGAACAAGGGCAUACCUCUGAACAAGAGGAAGAUGUCGACAUGGAAGAGGCCCCUGAACAAGGGCACCCUUUUGAUGAGUUAGAUCCCUGAAUAAUUGACUCUGAACCAAAUACGACACCAAUGGAAGAAUUGGAGACUUUCCCUGCCAACCCAGAAGACCCCAGUCAGGUCUUGCGUAUAGGAAAGUCAUUGUCCCCUGAAGCAAAAGUAGAGAUGAUAAGCUUCCUGAAAAGGAACUUGGAUGUCUUCACAUGAAAGCAUGAAGAUAUGGUGGGAAUAGAUCCUAGGAUCAGUUGCCAUCACCUUAACAUCAAUCCCUCCUGUGCCCCCCAUAGACAGAAGAGGCGUGCCCACAAUUCGAAAAGGUACGAGUCAUUGAAAGACGAAGUGAACAAACUUAGCCGUAGUGGUUUCAUAAGGAAAGCCAUCUACCCGAAGUGGAUAUCCAACCUAGUCCUGGUGAAAAAGCCCAGCGGAAAGUGGAGGGUAUGCGUAGACUUCACAAACUUAAAUAAGGCGUGCCCUAAAGACAGCUUCCCACUUCCAAGAAUAGAUCAACUUGUGGAUUCUAUUGCUGGACAUGAACUACUGAGCGUCAUGGAUGUAUACUCAGGGUAUAACCAGAUACCCAUGUUCCAACUUGAUGAGGAAGCUACAUCGUUCAUUAUGGACAGAGGUCUAUAUUGCUACAAAGUCAUGCCCUUCGAAUUGAAGAAUGCCGGAGCUACAUAUCAGAGAUUGGUCAACAUGAUGUUUGUCGAACUCAUUGACAAAACCAUGGAGGUCUACGUGGAUGACAUGCUAGUCAAAAGCCUCCAGGCAGCCGAACAUAUAAGUCACCUCGACCAAACUUUUCAGAUACUUAGAAAGUAUAAUAUGAAAUUGAAUCCCCUCAAGUGCACCUUUGGAGUGGCAUCGGGUCAGUUCUUGGGUAUAUUGUCAAUCAAAGAGGAAUUGAAGCAAAUCCAGUGAAAAUAAUGGCCUUGCUAGAGAUGAGGUCACCUCAAAAACCAAAGGAGGUCCAAAGCCUCAAUGUCCGAAUAGCCGCACUUAGUCGCUUCAUCUCCAAGGCCACAAAUGAAAGCUCACCUUUCUUCAAUGUGCUAAAAUAAGGAAAGAAAUUCCAAUGGACUUCAAAAUGUGAAGAAGCCUUCCAGGUGCUGAAAAAGCACCUCGGAAAGGUGUCCCUGUAGUCAAAACCUCAACCGGAUGAGUCAUUACUGCUGUACUUAGCAGCUUAGGACGUGGCGAUCAGUGUCUUCCUAGUCAGAGAAGAAAUUGAGUGCCAGUUGCCAGUGUAUUACAUCAGCAAAGCAUUCUCCCAGCUAAAACACGCUACCAAGACAUGGAGAAACUGGCGCUCGCCCUUAUCACAGCCUCAAGAAAACUGAGGCCGUACUUCCAGGCCCACUCAAUUCUAGUUCUCACCAACUUCCCACUGAAGCAAGUGAUGUAGAAAACAGACGCAUCAGGACGCCUGCUAAAAUGGGCAAUCGAUCUUAGUGAGUUCGAUCUAACGUUCCAACCUCGACAUGCUAUCAAGGGUCAGGCCCUUGCUGAUUUUAUGAUUGAGUUUGCUAAAGCCCCAGAAAUGGAGGCGAUAAUGGAACCAGCUGAGCCCCCCACAUGGAAACUAUUCGUACAUGGGUCCUCAGGAGAGACUGGCUCAAGGGCAGGGAUCGUAUUGGAAAGCUCGGAAGGACACAGGCUAAAUUGUGUAAGGUUUGGCUUCAAAGCCUCGAACAACGCUGUUGAAUAUGAGGCCCUUCUGGCAGGUCUUGGACUUGCUAAGGAGAUGCGGGUCAGAAGGCUCCUGGCGAGCAGUGACUCUCAACUUAUAGUGAACCAGGUCAAUGGAAACUUUGCAGCUAAAGAUGGUAGCAUGAUUGCGUACUUAAAGUUGGUUCUAGACCUAGUUCAUCAUUUUGAAAGGUUCGAACUGACUCAAGUCCCCCGUCUAGAGAAUGUACAUGCAGACGCCCUUUCAAAAUUGGCCAACAGCAAGGAUUUAGAGCUGCUAAAUGUUGUCCAUAUUGAGCACUUAUCAAAGCCCUCCACCUCCGGAGGUGAAGAGAUACUAUGGAUAGAAGGCACCCCAUUGUGGAUGCAGCCUAUCAUCACCUACCUGAAGGAUCAAACACUGCCUACUUCUAGAAGCGAGGCUAGGAAGUUAAGAAAAAGGGCUGCAUAUUUCAUCCUGUAAGAAGAUACUCUUUACAAGAGAGGCUUCACCUCGCCACUUCUUCGAUGUGUGGGAGGUGAAGAGGCCACAUUCAUACUCAGGGAAAUCCAUGAGGAAAUCUACGGAAAUCACUCCAGAGGAAUGGCUCUGGCACACAAGGUUCUCCAUCAAGGCUACUUCUGGCCGACCCUGAAAAGGGAUGCUUGCCAAUUUGUCCGGAAAUAUGACAAAUGCCAGCGCUUCUCGAACAUACAAAGACAGCCUGCUCAGAGCCUCUCCGUAGUAACCAGCCCUUGGCCAUUCGCCAAGUGGGGCAUUAACUUCAUUGGUCCACUCCCAAAAGGAAGAGGAAGUGCAACUUUCGCCGUUGUCGCCAUUGACUACUUCACUAAGUGGGUCGAUGCAAAACCCCUUGCUAGGAUCACCGAGGCGAAUACUACCAAAUUCUUCUGGAAGAACAUCAUUUGUAGGUUCGGCAUUCCCACUCCUUAGUGUCUGACAAUGGAAGGCAGUUCGACAACAGGAAGAUGCGAGACUUAUGCGACGAACUAGGCAUAAAGAAGGACUUUUCAACAUCUCAGCACCCCCAAGGAAAUGGGAAAGUUGAAGCAGUGAACAAGACUAUCAAGCACACCCUGAAAAGGAAGCUUGACACCUUAAAGGGGGCUUGGGUUGACGAACUCCCCCACGUCCUCUGGGCUAUCAGAACUUCUAGCCGAACUGCAACAGGUGAAACACCAUUUUUCGUGACCUACGGAGCCGAGGCCAUGAGCCAGGUCGAGGUCGAGGUCCCAUCACACCAACGAAUACACUUCAAUGAGAUCAGCAAUGACGAAGCUCGAAUAAGCAAACUGUACCUCCUUUAGGAAAGGAGGGAUGACUCCCAAGUGAACUUGGCAAAGUACCAUCGAAAGAUGACCCGAUAUUAUAACUCCAAGGUUAGAAAUAGAACUCUUCGCCUGGGUGAACUCGUCCUUAGAAAGGUCUUCCAAUCUUCAAAAUCGACCAAGUCAGGAGUGUUUGGACCAAACUGGGAGGGCCCUUACCACAUCUGCAGGGAAUCCCGACCUGGUACCUUCGAAAUUGAAGACAUGGCAGGAAAGGCACUACCUCAUCAGUGGAACAUCGAACACUUGAGAAAGUACUAUCAAUGAUGAGCCUUUGUCCCGAUCCAUUCUCAAUAUUGUCUAAUGAAUCGAUUGUUCUGAUAUGAUUUUAGUUGUAAAUUCCCUAGCUUACUAAGUGCUGGAAUUGCCUUGGUAAAGUGUGGUGUAAUUUAUCUCAAGUGAUGAAACUUCGGUUCUGUGCCACAUCGGUUAAUAAAUAGUUUCCUCAGUCCUUCAAUAUGUUUACUUAAGUGAUCCGAUCUUCAAUUAUUAACUGAUUAACAUUAAGAGGCUCUUCAUGUUUGCUUAAGUGACCCACUUCAUAUUAACUUAAGUGGUCCGAUCUCAAAUUGUUAACUGAUUAAUGUUAAGAGUCGCUUCAUGUUCGCUUAAGUGAUUCAACUUAUAUUAACUUGAGUGGUCCGAUCCUCAAUUAUUAACUGGUUAUUGUUACAAGGCGCUUAGUCUGAUGUUUGUCAUUCAUGCAAGUAUAAACAGAUCCAAAAGGAAAGAGAGCAGAAGCACAAACACUUAGCAAAAAAUUUCAUUUCAUUUAAUGAGAAUUGAAGUACAAGAAGGCUGAAGCCAUUACAAAAGAUGGCCCUAUUCUAGUGGAGGGACUUUUACAUCGGCCGCCUUCGGGGCCUCCGGAGCUUCAUCAGCAGGCCUAUCAGGCCGAACUCCAGUUGGUCCCCCAAACUCUGCCUCCAAAGAGGAGAUAUCCAGAGUGGGGUGGACCUCUUUCAGUCGACCCAAUUAGCCUUGGGCACUCCAAGAGGCCCAAAAAUUUGCGAAGUCGUCAUACAAGGGAUGGUCUUUGAAAUGGUCGUUGAAGUUCUGAACUGCCAUCUCCCCUGCAGACUUCAACUCAUCCUUCAAGGAGGCAAUCUCCUCAGACUGAGCCUCUACCUUCUGUCUCAGCUCCACCUUUUUUUUGUUUGAGGCCUCCAGAGCCUCGGUGGUGAGCUUGUGGUGCUCGUUGGCGUGAUUAACUCGUCGAGUCAUAGCAGCCACCUGGCACUCCACCUCAUAUAGCUCCUUCUUCAGCCGCUCCACUUUUGCUUUGGCGGCAGUUAGCUGUGCCUCGGCCUCCUUCUUUCCUUCCUCCGCUUACGUGGCCUUGGCCUGGGCCUCUCGCACGGCAUCCCUAUAGUGCAUUGCCUCCUCGAGGUGCUUGGCGAGGUCCUCCCUCCUGGAGUUCAAAUCCUUUACCAGGCCCUCGAGUUGGAUGCUUGUACUUAGGGCCCGAGCCACGUAGGCGUUGUUGGCAGCCACCAAUUCUUCAGCUGUGCAGUAGGCGGUGUGGUCCCUCCACUCCUCGGUCUAGUAUUUGUUGUGGACCACCACCACUGUAGCUGUUUCUGGAGGAAGGGCCUCCAACACUUCCCUCACCAGCUCCUCCAGAUUUGUGCCCAGAAAGUCAACCUCCUUAGAGGGACAGGGCCUCUUCCUCUUCUACUGCCCCGGCACUUGAGCGACUGGCACGAAAGCAAGUGGUGUUGUGGCUGGGGCAGUUGCAGCCUCAAAUGGCACAGGCCUCUUCUCUGGAAUAGCCAUCCCAGUUGGAAUUGUGGUUUGCUUCAGAACGGGGGCUGGCCUCGCCACAGUUGGGCGUUUUGGAGGGGGCGGCGCUCUUAUUGCCUUUCCUCCGGUACCUCCUCCUCCGUCAGAGGCUGAAGCCUCUUACUGGCGUCUACCAGAUCCUCCAUUUGCUUCUUGUAGGAGGAGGAGGAGGCCUUAAGUGCCCGUGCCUUUGCCAUCAUCCUCUGAAUGGUCUUAAAGUCGGGGCGCACGGGCAUCUUCUUAUUAAAAUUUUCUGCAAGGAACGAAUGACGAAUUAGUAAAGUGUUGAGAGUUCAGAAUAAAAGGUAAAGGCUUCAAUCUAGUCACCUUGGGAUGCCAUCAAGUCGUGUGUAACGAAGUGAAUGUUCUUUCGAAUCAGCCUAUGGUAUGACCUCUUCUUUUGAGGCAGCUGAUAAAUGAUGUAGAUGGUUUCGAAGUCUUCAGAUGACAGCUCGCACCGAGGAAGAGCACCUAUAAAAGAAAUGCAAAUAUUAGGCGCGGUUCGAACCGAAGAGAAAUAUAAAGAAAUGUAGCUACUAUACUCACUAAGUGUUGAGUACUUCGUCGGGACUGUAAGAGGCACCAGGGGGUCCCCCUCCAUUGUGUCCCAUCGCCCAGCGGCCUAGCACCACUAGCUUUUCCAUUCUUUGAUAGAGCUCGACAGAUCGAGCACGAAUGGAGUGUGGGAACCCCAUGAAGUAAGGUAGUACCACCCCCAGGUCUUACCUCCCCUGACAGUUACCUUAUGUAUGUAAAGGGUUUGGAAGACGGAGAGAGGCAUCUCCACCCCUAAUGACGCCUAUUUCCACAACAUUCAGGAGCCCACCAUUUAGCUCCAGGAGUUCGGAUUGAGUUGUGUCGGGGCUAGCCCAUAGGAUCUAAGCACCAUCCUAAAGAAUGGGUGAAUUAGCAACCUAAGUCCGACCUUAAGGAUCGCCUUACUAAUGGCCACACAACCCAGCCUAGGGUAGCAGGCCUCUCUUCGGGUUCAGGAAGGAUCAGAUCUAUGCUAUCCGAGAUCCUAUACUCUACCCUAAGUCUCUCCAAGUUGGCCUUCCUUAGUUUAGAUGAGUAGCUCAAUGCCCCCAGUGCACAGAAGUGUCUGCUGGGCUAUCCGGUCGCUUCCAUAUAUUUUCCCCCUAUUAUCGCCUCGACUAUUUCUGAAGAGGUUGCCACAGUGGGCUCGUCCAUCCUCACUAGUUCUAACCCCCUCCCCAAACCAGAACUCCCCUCAGAAGCCAUUUUUCAGAAGUUAAAAAUCCAAAAAGGUACUGAAACUUACGAGUUUGGAGGUUUUCCUAGCCGAAAAUAGUGUAAGGUUACCGGAUGUUGGUAUUUCUCGUUGGAAGUUCAAGUUUCUCGCCGGAAUUGCUUAGAAAAUGCCAAAAAUUGCAAAUGGCUUGAGAGCAAAGUGUAUUAUCUGUUUUUGCAAGUGUAGAAAGCUUAAGAAAAGCUCAGAGUCCGCCUUUUAUAGAAAGACCCAUCCGAUCUCCACCGUUGAAUUCAAAUGCGAUCGAUCUAAGCCGUUCGUCGCACCUUCAAUCUAGACCGUUGAAAUGAAACGCCAAAUUUGAUCUACGCCCAAGAUGUCGCUGUGACCUUCGCGCUCGCUUAAAACGCGUCACCUCUGUCACCACCAGCCAUCAAUAAUAAGUAGCCACAAUAGCUGUAAUACUCCGAAAUUUUAUGCUGAUUUAAAUUUCUUUAAGAUGGCGAUUUAACUUUCAAUACUAUUUUUGGCCAUAAGAAAAGGGGACACCACUUUUUGCAGUGGUUAAUGUUAGAGAUAGCUAAUGACUACAAGCAUAAGGUGUUAAAUGUUGCGUAUACAUGAAGUGAUUAUUAGUUAGUCGAAACUUAAGUCAAGUUUGAAAUUGAAUGUGGUCGAUUAUUUUGUUAGGACUUCAAUUGACCAAAUGAUUAAAUUAAUUUACGAUCUACAAUUUUUGGAUAUGUAAGUUGGAUAUAAGUUUAGAUUUGGGAUAUAUUUGCUAAUAAUGAAAGAUAGAGGGUUGGAUAUAUUAGUUGGAAGAUUAGAGAUUUCCUUUGCAAAUAUAGGUUUUUAGGCUACUAAUUACUUAUAAUCAACCCCACUUGUUAUCCAUCACCACCAUACAUUUGGAUCAUAGACCAAACAUGUGUAAAGGUAGAAAAAAAAAAAAAAAAAAAAAAAAAGAGAAAAGGGGGGUCAAAGUCGGCCACAACAAUUAAUAAAAAAUAAAAAAAUAUCUUUUUAUACUUAUCCUCUUAUACAAGUAUAAAUACAUCCCUAUCCAUGCCAUAGAGAAAGAGAUUUCUUUCAUUUCUACAAAACACUUAUACAUUUGAAAAGAGAGCCAAAAACCGAAAUUUAAGGAAGGAAGAAAAAGAAGUGAGCUUAACACUUUCAACUUANNNNNNNNNNNNNNNNNNNNNNNNNNNNNNNNNNNNNNNNNNNNNNNNNNNNNNNNNNNNNNNNNNNNNNNNNNNNNNNNNNNNNNNNNNNNNNNNNNNNNNNNNNNNNNNNNNNNNNNNNNNNNNNNNNNNNNNNNNNNNGGCUUACGCGAUGAUGGAUUAAGGACAACGAAGUUUUGUACCGAAAGUUUUCUUUUGUGUGUUUUGUUCGAUGGCAGUUUUUACAUCUAUUUUUCUUAUGGUCUUAUGUAAAAAUAUGAACAUGGAAUGAUGUAUUAUGGUAGUACUAUUAAAUUUUGUAAUUAUAUCUUUCAUGUUAUGUUAAGAGACGUUUUUAUAGUUUAUUUUCCUUACAAGUGAUAAAAGGCAGAAACGGGACAGUUUCUGGAGUCAAUUUCAAAAUGAUGUUUCUAACUCUAUAAACGUCCAUUUGAAAUUCUAAAAAUAUCUAUGUUUUCCCCUUUGAGUUUUCUAAGUAUUGCCGCAAGAAAUACUCAAUUUGGAUAUCUGUGGACUGAGUUAUUAAGGUUUUGACGUCCAAAGGUCAAUCUGGAUUUUCUGUGAAAUACUUCACUGUUUUCAGUAAAACGUCUAUAUCAUAUGAUCUUGGAAAAUUUUCAUAUUUUAACCUAGAAAACUACUUGAAAUUAUCUUUCUAAUGCCACAAAUUUCAUAUGAAACGGAGUUGGGAUGAAUUUUAUAAAAUCUUCCGAAGUUUGCUGCCUCAACUAAAUUUGACAGUGCCGAGGCCGUAUUUACAAUGUUUAAAUUUCAUGUUGGCAUGCACUUUUAUCGGCCAUAAAGUUUUAUAAAAAUAGGUUUUUAACAUGCAGUAUUCCUAUUUAAGAAUAUUUACACGUACCAAAGGCAAAAGUUUUUAUGUAAAGUACGUGGCCCUCGAAGCUUAGGUUCGGGGCGUCACAGUUGUGGUAUCAGAGCAAGGUUUACUUUUCUGUAGAAUUUUUUUUAAAAGAAAGUUACUGUCCUUAAUCAUCGAAGAAGCUAGCAACUGACUUCCAACCAACGAUCAAGGUAAAAUUUAUUUUUAAAUUCAUGAGUUCUCUUAUGUAACGAAUUGUUAUAUCUAUGGCUGGAUAUGGGAAUAUUUUAAUCAAGUCAUGAUUGAUAUUGUGAAGUCAUGAACACUUAUACCAAGGCAUUUAUGAGAACCUUGUAGAGUAAUAUAAUCCAUGUUUGUCCUAGUAUGGCACGACUGAUAAGAACCCCCACGAGGACAGAAGCUUGUGGUUUUGCAGAGAAGCAGGACAUAUUAUUGAUAUUUUACUAUAAUUAUCGUAUGCAUCCGCUUCAUAGCCUCAAACAACAUUUGGAUCUGCUAGAUUGUAUUAUUGAGAUGUUAUGGGAAAUACACCAUAGCCUAAGCAAUAAGGUGAAGAUACUGAGGCUAUAUGAAACUGUUCUAGAACCUUGGGCCACAGUCAUAAAAGAGAUCGUGUCAUGGUCUGAUGAUGACCUUUCAUAUGAGGAUCUUACCUAUUUGCUUCGAGAAAGUUAUGGGACUAGCCGUGAUUUACAGCGAAACUUUAAGAAGACUAUAAACUUAUCCAUGAAUACUAGUUUACGAGCUACCAAAUCUAGGCUAGUUAAGGGACCGUUGGCUAAGUGCUUUUCGAGAGUUCUAGAGGAAAGUUUUCCCGUACCAUUACCAGAUAGAUCGGAGCAAAGCUUGUUAGAGGAAGACCAAGAGGAAGACCCCGAUGAGGAUCCAGAAGAAAUAGAAGAAUAGAUAUCAUCUUACCUAGCUAUCUUCGUUUUUGGAAUAGAAUAGGAUGUAAUAUGUACCUCUGCUUGUGAAUGUAUGUACCCUACCUUAGCAUGGUUUUUGUUUGUGAAAAAUAAUAAUGUAUAUAUAUGAAGGAAAGAUACUUGUCGCUAACCAAAUAGCUAGAGAUCUUAGGAUGGAAAUUGAUGGUAGAGGUAUAGCGGUAGAUCUAAUUCCAUUAACUAUAAAAGACUUUGAUGUUAUUCUUGGUAUGGACUGGUUGUCUAAAAACUAUGUAACUAUUUAUCGUACUGAGAGAAUGGUGGUUUUUUGAAGACCGGGCGAAGGAGAGUUCCAUUUUUGUGGGAACUGAGGUAAAUACCUCGUCUGGUGUAGUGUCAACAACCCAGGUUGAAAGGAUGUCGAGAAAGGAAUUAGAUCAAAGAUUUCUAGUGUCGAUGACCGAUGUUAAACAAGAUAAGUUGUCAAUUGAGGAUGUUCCAAUAGUUCGACACUAUAAAGACGUUUUUCCAGAAGAUCUUCUAGGUGUACCACCAGACAGACAAGUAGAGUUUACCAUUGAUUUGGUACCAGGAGCAACACCCAUUUCAAAGGCUCCAUAUCGUAUGGCUCCGUUGGAAUUACAAGAGCUAAAGGUACAGUUGAAGGAGCUUCUUGAUAAGGGUUUCAUUAGACCAAGUGUAUCACCGUGGGGUGGACCUGUGUUAUUUGUGAAAAAGAAGGAUGGAACAAUGAGGCUGUGUAUUGACUAUCGAGAAUUGAAUCGCCUCACUAUUAAAAACAAAUACCCACUCCCAAGAAUAGAAGAUUUGUUUGACCAUCUUAAGGGGGCUACAGUAUUUUCAAAGAUCCUCAUGAUGGUCUUAGAAACUCUAAGAAAAGAGAAGAUUUAUGCUAAAUUUCAGAAAUGUGAAUUCUGGUUGGAUAAGAUAGUUUUUCUAGGGUACGUAAUCACAGCACGAGGAAUUGAGGUAGACCCAGCUAAAGUGGAAGCAGUGAAUAAUUGGGUAAGACCAACCAAUGUUAGAGAAAUACGUAGUUUCUUGGGAUUGGCUGGUUACUAUAGAAGAUUUAUCGAGGGAUUUUCUAAAAUAGCAGGACCAUUGACCCAAUUGACUCGAAAAGGGGUAAAAUUUCAAUGGACGGAGCAAUGUGAGCAAAGUUUCCAAGAGCUGAAACGAAGAUUAGUCACAGCCCCAGUGUUAACAAUACCUGACGGACCAGAGGGAUUCGUCAUAUAUAGUGAUGCCUCGAAACAGGGCAUAGGAUGUGUUUUGAUACAAAAAGGAAAAGUGAUAGCCUAUGCUUCCAGACAAUUGAAACAAUAUGAACAAAACUACCCAACCCAUGAUCUAGAAUUGGCUGCGGUAGUUCAUGCCCUCAAAAUAUGGCGUCAUUACUUGUACGGAAACAAGUGUGACAUUUAUACUGAUCAUAAGAGUUUGAAGUAUUUUUUCACCUAAAAAGAAUUAAAUAUGAGACAGAGGAGAUGGCUAGAGCUAGUAAAGGAUUAUGAUUGCACUAUCCAUUACCAUUCUGGUAAAGCUAAUGUAGUAGCUGAUGCUCUUAGCAGAAAGGCAGUGGGACAAUUAGCAGUACAAAUCACUAUGCAGGACCAGUUGUUAAAGGAUUUCGACAACUUACAUCUAGAAGUAAUUGUUCCACCAACCCAAACUAGUGCCAGGAUAGCGGCUCUAACGAUUCGACCAACACUUAGAGAUCGAAUAAGAGCAGCCCAGGAUGGUGACCCUUUCCUACAAAAGAUCAAAUCCAAAGUUGGUACUAACAAGCGAAAGGAUUUUGAAUUAAGUAGUGAUAAAGCCAUACUCUUUAAGGGGAGGUUGUGUGUGCCGAAAGAUGAGGGAUUGAGGAAAGAAAUUCUUGAAGAAGCACACUUAACCCCAUAUACUGCCCAUCCAGGAGGUACAAAAAUGUAUCGUGAUCUAAGGAGCAUGUUUUGGUGGAGAAAUAUGAAACGAUGCAAAGGUCUUUUUGUCAAGAGAUGCAUGACUUGUCAGCAAGUGAAAGCUGAACAUCAAAGGCCAUCUGAAUUGCUGGAACCAUUAAUAAUUCCACAAUGGAAAUGGGAACAUAUAACUAUGGAUUUUGUUAUGGGUUUUCCAAAAUCAGCUAAGGGAAAUGAUGCUAUGUGGGUUAUAGUGGAUCGGUUAACAAAAUCAGCUCAUUUUCUACCUGUAAGAAUGAAUUUUAGUAUGGAUCAAUACGCACGAUUAUACAUCAAGGAGGNNNNNNNNNNNNNNNNNNNNNNNNNNNNNNNNNNNNNNNNNNNNNNNNNNNNNNNNNNNNNNNNNNNNNNNNNNNNNNNNNNNNNNNNNNNNNNNNNNNNNNNNNNNNNNNNNNNNNNNNNNNNNNNNNNNNNNNNNNNNNNNNNNNNNNNNNNNNNNNNNNNNNNNNNNNNNNNNNNNNNNNNNNNNNNNNNNNNNNNNNNNNNNNNNNNNNNNNNNNNNNNNNNNNNNNNNNNNNNNNNNNNNNNNNNNNNNNNNNNNNNNNNNNNNNNNNNNNNNNNNNNNNNNNNNNNNNNNNNNNNNNNNNNNNNNNNNNNNNNNNNNNNNNNNNNNNNNNNNNNNNNNNNNNNNNNNNNNNNNNNNNNNNNNNNNNNNNNNNNNNNNNNNNNNNNNNNNNNNNNNNNNNNNNNNNNNNNNNNNNNNNNNNNNNNNNNNNNNNNNNNNNNNNNNNNNNNNNNNNNNNNNNNNNNNNNNNNNGACCGACAAAAGAGUUAUGCCGAUAAAAGGAGAAAAGAUUUGACAUUUAAUGUUGGCGGCAAAGUUUUCAUAAAGGUGGCGCCGAUGAAGGGAGUUCUGCGUUUUGGGAAGAAAGGAAAACUUCAACCAAGAUUCAUUGGUCCUUUUGAAAUUUUGCAGAAAGUUGGGAAUGCAGCUUAUCGAAUCGCUCUGCCACCAGAUUUGUCAGCGGUUCAUAAUGUGUUCCAUGUAUCCAUGCUUCGACAAUAUGUAUCAGACCCAAGUCACGUGGUUAAUUAUCAACCAUUGGAUAUCAAAUCAAACAUGACAUAUGAGGAAAAACCAGUAUCGAUAUUGGAUCGCAGAAUUCAGCAAUUAAGAACAAAGGAAAUUCCGUUAGUAAGAGUCCAAUGGAGGAAUCAUAAUGUCGAAGAAUCGACUUGGGAGAGAGAAGAAGAAAUCAAGUUCAAGUAUCCAGAACUAUUCAACUAAGUUCAAGGUAAUUUCGAGGACGAAAUUUUUUUUAAGGGGGAAGGAAUGUAAUACUCCGAAAUUUUAUGCUGAUUUAAAUUUCUUUAAGAUGGCGAUUUAACUUUCAAUACUAUUUUUGGCCAUAAGAAAAGGGGACACCACUUUUUGCAGUGGUUAAUGUUAGAGAUAGCUAAUGACUACAAGCAUGAGGUGUUAAAUGUUGCGUAUACAUGAAGUGAUUAUUAGUUAGUCGAAACUUAAGUCAAGUUUGAAAUUGAAUGUGGUCGAUUAUUUUGUUAGGACUUCAAUUGACCAAAUGAUUAAAUUAAUUUACGAUUUACAAUUUUUGGAUAUGUAAGUUGGAUAUAAGUUUAGAUUUGGGAUACAUUUGCUAAUAAUGAAAGAUAGAGGGUUGGAUUAUAUUAGUUGGAAGAUUAGAGAUUUCCUUUGCAAAUAUAGGUUUUUAGGCUACUAAUUACCUAUAAUUAGCCCCACUUGUUAUCCAUCACCACCAUACAUUUGGAUCAUGGAUUAAACAAGUGUAAAGUUAUAAAAAAAAGAAAAAGAAAAGGGGGGGUCAAAGUCGGCCAAACCAAGUAAUAAAAAAUAAAAAUAUCAAGUUUUAUCCUUAUCUUUAUAUGAGUAUAAAUACAUCCAUAUCCAUUGCCAUAGAAAUUUUAGCACUUUCAAUUCAUUUCAAACAAAGAUCAUCAAGUUUUACGGUAAGAUACUUUCAUGCUUAAGAGUUAUGAUUUUCAUGGUAAUAUUUAUGCUUAAGUUAUGCAUGAAAAACCAUAAUAUGAUUAUGGUGGACAAGUUCACAAAGUUAGAUAUCUAUUUAUGCCUUAGGACAAGUCCGAAGGGCACCGGCAAGCCGGAAUAUGCAAGUAUGGGUUUGAUUGUAUUCUUUUGUUUUUAUGCUAAACUUUUCAGAUCCAUGAUCAUUUGAAUUGAUGGAAGUUAGUUGGCUUACGCGAUGAUGGAUUAAGGACAACGAAGUUUUGUACCGGAAGUUUUCUUUUGUGUGUUUUGUUCGAUGGCAGUUUUUACAUCUAUUUUUCUUAUGGUCUUAUGUAAAAAUAUGAACAUGGAAUGAUUUAUUAUGGUAUUACUAUUAAAUUUUGUAAUUAUAUCUUUCAUGUUGUGAUAAGAGACAUUUUUGUGGUUUAUUUUCCUUACAAGAGACAAAAGGCAGAAACGGGACAGUUUCUGGAGUCAAUUUCAAAAUGAUGUUUCUAACUCUAUAAACGUCCAUUUGAAAUUCUAAAAAUAUCUAUGUUUUCCCCUUUGAGUUUUCUAAGUAUUGCCGCAAGAAAUACUCAAUUUGGAUAUCUGUGGACUGAGUUAUUAAGGUUUUGACGUCCAAAGGUCAAUCUGGAUUUUCUGUGAAAUACUUCACUGUUUUCAGUAAAACGUCUAUAUCAUAUGAUCUUGGAAAACUUUCAUAUUUUAAUCUAGAAAACUACUUGAAAUUAUCUUUCUAAUGCCACAAAUUUCAUAUGAAACGGAGUUGGGAUGAAUUUUAUAAAAUCUUCCGAAGUUUGCUGCCUCAACUAAAUUUGACAGUGCCGAGGCCGUAUUUACAAUGUUUAAAUUUCAUGUUGGCAUGCACUUUUAUCGGCCAUAAAGUUUUAUAAAAAUAGGUUUUUAACAUGCAGUAUUCCUAUUUAAGAAUAUUUACAUGUACCAAAGGCAAAAGUUUUUAUGUAAAGUACGUGGCCCUCGAAGCUUAGGUUCGGGGCAUCACAAUAGCCUUUUAGGAGAAUGGGCAUGGCACCCAACUAUCACCUUGAAAAUACGCAACAAUUGUCAAAUCAUUUAACGUUUGAAUCACCUCGAAUCGAGCCCCUCGCUCAACUUUACAAAGCUUAGACGCACCUGAUGCGAAAUUUCCUAUGGGUCAUCGCCUCGGACGCUGCGUUCCCUCCUAAGCUUUACAAAGUUUUAGCCAUCUUCCAACGCUUCGGCCCUGUGGGUCAGCGCACCGGUGGUAGAUGAGCUCCUCACUCAACUUUACAAAGCUUAGACGUACCUGACGCGAAGUCCCUUGUGGGUCAUCGCCUCGGACUCUGUGUUCCCUCUCAAGCUUUACAAAGUUUUAGCAAUCUCCUAACGCGUCGUCCCCUAUGGGUCAGCAUACUGCGGCAGAUGAGCUCCUCACUCUAUUUUACAAAGCUUAGGCACGUCUGACGCGAGUCCCCUGUGGGUCAUAGCCUCGGUCGUCGCAUUGACCUUAUUUCCUACUAAUCGUCCAGUCUUGCAGCGCUUUGACCUCACAUCAGUUAUUGUUUCCCUUACACAGUAACGAAGCUUUGGCACAUCUGCCUAAGAUCAUGGCUUCGGUUACUGCAGAAGAUCGACCCACAAGCUUCCAUGAGUUGCGGUCCCCAGUACCGAGGCAUCCACAUCCGGUCAGGAAAGUAAGUCCACCCAUGAUAUAAAUAUUCAUACCUGGACUUGGGGGACCACUAUUAUGCCCCUAUCUAAACCGCCUCGGAAUGCCCACCACCACACAUUCCGACCUGAUAUACACCCAUCCAAAGUGUUUCCGAAGUGAUCCCACCAAUGUCAACGACCUGAUAGCACACUGAGAGACAUAAACGAUCUUACUGAACUGACCGAAGUGCCCUCGCCCCUGAUGCCGAGGCGAAGUGCACCUCUGUCAGAAGAUCCGCCGCCAAUUUUAGAAAAAGAUUUUUGCCAAGAUCCUCUGUGCAUCUAAGGUUUAAAUUGAUUUAAUGUCUCCAUGAGGCUAGUUGAUGUGACUUAUCAACUUUAUGUCAACUCAACUCGGGAGAAACAAACUGCCCUCCCACUGUACAAACGUGGCUGAUUGACGCCUAUGAACUGACGCCUCAUAUUGUCAAAUGCUUACACAUGUCCCACAUCCAACAGUUCAUCCUACCUAUAAAUACCCAAGGUUUGGCAAGAGGCAAAGGUAAUGAAACUCUCACUACAGAGCACUCCAUAGCAAGUUUAUAUAUUUUCUCCUCCCCCUUAUUAUUAUUUUGCACAAUCUCUGGGUACUGUUCCGACCACCUAAACCUGACUUGACCGUCAGAGUGUAUACGGUCGCCACCACCCCCCGCUGGUCUCCGUGUGCGUCUGACUGUGCGUUGAUUGUGCACAGGGAGGUAUACGUGGAGUAGCUAUCGGUUGGCCACGUGGAAGGUCCAAUUUUCGAGGUCAACACAUAUUAUCGUUUCAUUAGCACGCUCGAACAUAAUUCUUUAAUUUUGGGUUUUUGCGUUUGUUUAACAUUAGUGAAGAACCUUCAUCGACAAAACAAAUUGAAAUUUGUAGUAUUAUGAAACUAAAGAACUAUUAAUGGUCUUUUUUCAUUUUAAUAGUUUGAAUUUUACUAAUGUUGUCCUUGUUUUUCUGCUUUAAUUCUUUUUCGCCGGGCCUAUCUUUACUAGCGUGAUAUUCAAUUAGGAGCUUCCAAUAAGAAAAUCUAUACAUCAAAUUAUCCUGUGGCAGACUGCUCUUUUUUUAUUUUUUUAUUUUAAGACCCCCGUUUGAACGUCAAUGAAGUUUUUCACAUUACUAUUAAAAAAAUAUUGACAAAUCAGUAGAGAACCCUAACAUAUGGUAUAGUAGAGAUUAUGCGAUAAUAACUUUGAUUAAUAAAUGUAUAAGAUAGUUGCUCAGUUAUUUAUUCACCAAACAUGUAAUUAAUUCUUAUAUUAUUUAAUUUGCUUUCUUAUAACAGAAGUUAUCUAUUUUACGAUUACAAUUUUAGUUUUCAUUUGUUUUUGAGAAGAGUAAUAUUUUAGCACAGUCAAGCAAUGAAAUUUUUAAUAUUUCUUUGAACUUGUCAAAUUUUUUGACCACCUAGACCAUCUAGAAUUACUUCGAUAGGGAUUUUGGCAACAAAACUCGUAUCCACUUUAUAAGUUUUGAAUUAGUAUGACGUCUUUUGUUUUGUUCUCGUCACUAUGAUCAAAACUGCUAGACCUUCUAGGAGUAGCUUUUUUUUUUUAAUGGUUUUUGCAUAGAAUUAUGCAUUAUUAUAACAAGUCUACAAUUCCAUUAUAUUUGUAUUGCCUUUUAAAUUCGCUUCCUAUUCAAAUUGAGCAUUUUCCAUUACCAACUAUAGUUAAUCAUUCAAUUGUUUCCCAAUGGAGCAUUCUUUAUUUAUUUAUUUAUUUUUUUUACCUAUGAUGACUAUUUUAAUUUGAAUAUAUAUAUAUAUUUUUUUUAUCUCCACAUUUUUAAUUUUCCAAUUAAAUGCAUAGAUGUGUAAUUUUUUUAGAAUUGAAAAUUCCAUUAAAUUUUAUUUACAGUUCUCACAUUUUUCUUUAUUUUCAGGUUGUCUACUUAAAUUGUACCAACAUAGAAUUGUUUGUCAACUGCUUUCAGGCCAGCUUCUAAUGCUGUAAAUUUACUGGUAAAUAUGAUUUUUUGCUGUUUGAAAUGUUAAUGUGCAAUAAAUUUUUUUUAUUAUUAUUUUUUUGUGUUCCGAACAAUCUUAUUUAUUUUCAACAUUUUCUUUCAUCUAAUUUUCUCUACCAUAUAGUUUGAGAUAUAUAUGAUAGAUUCACUAAUAUAUUUUUCACUUUUUACACUGAUUUGUUUGGAGUCCAAAGAUUCAGCUAUUUUCCCUGUUGCUGUAAUGGAAAUUUCGGAAUCAUUUGUUGAAGUUGACCCUGCUUCUAUUCAUUUUGAAACUAUUUCUGAAACUCAAAAGAACUUGAGUAAUGCUUCCAUACGAUAACAAGAA
Molecule: long non-coding RNA, 29212 nt
Filed under: Olea europaea (common olive)
Lineage: Eukaryota; Viridiplantae; Streptophyta; Magnoliopsida; Lamiales; Oleaceae
Description: long non-coding RNA (OEUR_LNC007528)
Source: RNAcentral